CCUACGGGUGGCAGCAGUGAGGAAUAUUGGUCAAUGGACGCGAGUCUGAACCAGCCAAGUAGCGUGAAGGAGGACUGCCCUAUGGGUUGUAAACUUCUUUUAUAUGGGAAUAAAACAGGGUAUGCAUACCCUCUUGUAUGUACCAUAUGAAUAAGGAUCGGCUAACUCCGUGCCAGCAGCCGCGGUAAUACGGAGGAUCCGAGCGUUAUCCCGAUUUAUUGGGUUUAAAGGGAGCGUAGGGGGAUUGUUAAGUCAGUUGUGAAAGUUUGCGGCUCAACCGUAAAAUUGCAGUUGAAACUGGCAGUCUUGAGUACAGGAGAGGUGGGCGGAAUGCGUGGUGUAGCGGUGAAAUGCUUAGAUAUCACGAAGAACUCCGAUUGCGAAGGCAGCUUACUGGCCUGCAACUGACACUGAAGCUCGAAAGUGUGGGUAUCGAACAGGAUUAGAUACCCGGGUAGUC
RNAcentral lists this ribosomal RNA (460 nucleotides) under uncultured bacterium. RNAcentral describes it as "partial 16S ribosomal RNA". It matches the Rfam family "Bacterial small subunit ribosomal RNA", at positions 338 to 795 of the family's 1533-position model. The record is from RNAcentral.